UGGGGAAUUUUGGACAAUGGGCGAAAGCCUGAUCCAGCAAUGCCGCGUGUGUGAAGAAGGCCUUCGGGUUGUAAAGCACUUUUGUCCGGAAAGAAAUCCUUGGCUCUAAUACAGUCGGGGGAUGACGGUACCGGAAGAAUAAGCACCGGCUAACUACGUGCCAGCAGCCGCGGUAAUACGUGUAGGGUAGCAAGCUGAUUAAUCGGAAUUACUGGGCGUAAAGCGUGCGCAGGCGGUUUGCUAAGACCGAUGUGAAAUCCCCGGGCUCAACCUGGGAACUGCAUUGGUGACUGGCAGGCUAGAGUAUGGCAGAGGGGGGUAGAAUUCCACGUGUAGCAGUGAAAUGCGUAGAGAUGUGGAGGAAUACCGAUGGCGAAGGCAGCCCCCUGGGCCAAUACUGACGCUCAUGCACGAAAGCGUGGGGAGCAAACAGGAUUAGAUACCCUGGUAGUCCACGCCCUAAACGAUGUCAACUAGUUGUUGGGGAUUCAUUUCCUUAGUAACGUAGCUAACGCGUGAAGUUGACCGCCUGGGGAGUACGGUCGCAAGAUUAAAACUUCAAAUGAAUUGACGGGGUCAUAGCUGUUUCCU
Molecule: ribosomal RNA, 591 nt
Filed under: uncultured bacterium
Lineage: Bacteria
Description: partial 16S ribosomal RNA
Rfam family: Bacterial small subunit ribosomal RNA
Source: RNAcentral